CAGCAGCCGCGGUAAUACGAAGGGUGCAAGCGUUACUCGGAAUUACUGGGCGUAAAGCGUGCGUAGGUGGUGGUUUAAGUCCGUUGUGAAAGCCCUGGGCUCAACCUGGGAAUUGCAGUGGAUACUGGGUCACUAGAGUGUGGUAGAGGAUAGUGGAAUUUCCGGUGUAGCAGUGAAAUGCGUAGAGAUCGGAAGGAACACCUGUGGCGAAAGCGGCUCACUGGACCAUAACUGACGCUGAUGCACGAAAGCUAGGGGAGCAAACAGGAUUAGAUACCCGAGUAGUCCCUGUCUCUUAUAA
RNAcentral lists this ribosomal RNA (301 nucleotides) under uncultured bacterium. RNAcentral describes it as "partial 16S ribosomal RNA". It matches the Rfam family "Bacterial small subunit ribosomal RNA", at positions 509 to 809 of the family's 1533-position model. The record is from RNAcentral.